UACGGAGGGGGCGAGCGUUAUUCGGAAUUAUUGGGCGUAAAGGGCGCGUAGGCGGCUGUACAAGUCAAAGGUGAAAUCCCUCGGCUCAACUGAGGAACUGCCUUUGAAACUGUACGGCUUGAGGCCGGGAGGGGGUAGCGGAAUUCCCAGUGUAGCGGUGAAAUGCGUAGAUAUGUGGAAGAACACCGGUGGCGAAGGCGGUUUUCUAGCUUAUUCCUGACGCUGAGGCGCGAAAGCAAGGGGAUCAAACAGG
Molecule: ribosomal RNA, 253 nt
Filed under: uncultured bacterium
Lineage: Bacteria
Description: partial 16S ribosomal RNA
Rfam family: Bacterial small subunit ribosomal RNA
Source: RNAcentral